ACUAAUAUCUUUUUACUAACAAAAAGAAAAUAAAUAUAAGAUAUAUAUUAAUUCUCAUGAUAUAUAAACACGCAUUUGUAUUUGCCGCUUCGAGUGCACCUGCUGCGCGACAAUCGAUCUUCUUGAAUUGCUACUUUCGCGCGAAUUGGCAAUAUUGGCAAUAGUCUGAUAUUGUCAACUUUUCACGUCACAAUUGCACACAACAGUUUUCGCCCUCGUCGCGGACGGACACGGAAAUUUCGCGAGUGAAAAUCUCGUUGUGUAUUGUCGCGAAUAUAUAUACAUAUACCGAAUACGUUCCUAUAGUUGCGUCAAGUGUUUUCGUCGAUCGCGUGUGAUAUAUAUAUAUACAAUGUGUCCACGUAUAUCGUUCCGGAAUUCCUCUACGUACGUGAAUCGCGAUCUUCGCGUGAAAAAGUUCCGGCGUCGAAAAGUCGCGAAAUGGCGUCGUCUCGUUGGCGCGUUGUGCCGUGAUAUGCGUCGUUUCGAAACAGAGACGCAACCUGAGCACCGGAUGCUUGCUUUCUUAGUCGCGAUGCGUGUGCGUAGUCACGAUUCUCGUUCUCCGGGAGUGCGGUCGUCGUUCGAAAAUAGUCGGCUAUCGUCGCUGACGUAUCGUCGCGUCUAUUUUAAACGUGCGCGUAUGUCGGCCGAUUCUUUCGAGCGCGUAAGUCGAAAGUUAUUUCUUUAUUUAAAGCUUCGGAUCGAUAAUGGAAGCGGAAUUGCCGCGCGUGGAACGCAACAGCUAAUCGCACCGGUAUUUGCAGGCGGCAUUUUUCUUUCAUCGAGGGAACCUAAAGUAGUAGCAUUGCGAUACACAGUGCGAUUCACGCGUCGUGUCGGGAGUGCCGUGUAAAGUUUCGCGUGUCGGGAGUGCCGUGUAAAGUGUCGGGCGAUCGUAAUUAUUCGCGUUUUCGCGAGUGCCGCGAGUGCUAAGGAUAAAGAGAGGAGGAGGAGGCCUAGGGAGGCAUCGGGCAACAGCGGGUCAACUGUGAGAUCAAUGUAGCUGUGUACUACAACUUCGUUAUUGCACGUAUCGGUGAUUGGUGCUCUAGACUGGAAGAAUUCAAUUUCCUCCUUUUGAUCAACUCAUUGCCAAUCUACGUAGUCAGCUCCACUAUUAUGCAUCGAUCGAAAGACGACGAGAAAAAUUUUUAUACAUCGAAGAUCUACCGCGAAAUCACGGAUGCGUCCCUGCGUUUGCAACAGCGAAAAGGAUAUCACUCU
Long non-coding RNA from Nylanderia fulva, 1227 nucleotides. RefSeq lists it as uncharacterized. The record is from RefSeq and is a predicted model, not a curated record. NCBI's taxonomy places the organism in Eukaryota, Metazoa, Arthropoda, Insecta, Hymenoptera, Formicidae.